CCUACGGGGGGCUGCAGUGGGGAAUAUUGCACAAUGGGCGCAAGCCUGAUGCAGCGACGCCGCGUGAGGGAUGACGGCCUUCGGGUUGUAAACCUCUGUUAGCAGGGAAGAAGAGAAAGUGACGGUACCUGCAGAGAAAGCCCCGGCUAACUACGUGCCAGCAGCCGCGGUAAUACGUAGGGGGCGAGCGUUGUCCGGAAUUAUUGGGCGUAAAGGGCACGCAGGCUGUGCUUCAAGUCAGCUGUAAAAGGAUGCGGCUUAACCGUGUUAUGCAGUUGAGACUGAGGUGCUGGAGUAUCGGAGAGGAAAGUGGAAUUCCUAGUGUAGCGGUGAAAUGCGUAGAUAUUAGGAAGAACACCAGUGGCGAAGGCGACUUUCUGGACGAAAACUGACGCUGAGGCGCGAAAGCCAGGGGAGCGAACGGGAUUAGAUACCCGAGUAGUC
RNAcentral lists this ribosomal RNA (444 nucleotides) under Escherichia coli. Its description in RNAcentral is "bacterial SSU rRNA". It matches the Rfam family "Bacterial small subunit ribosomal RNA", at positions 338 to 795 of the family's 1533-position model. The record is from RNAcentral. Lineage: Bacteria; Pseudomonadati; Pseudomonadota; Gammaproteobacteria; Enterobacterales; Enterobacteriaceae.